This 247-nucleotide ribosomal RNA is filed under the name uncultured bacterium. RNAcentral describes it as "partial 16S ribosomal RNA". It matches the Rfam family "Bacterial small subunit ribosomal RNA", at positions 86 to 334 of the family's 1533-position model. The record is from RNAcentral.
AGAUGGCGACCGGCGCACGGGUGAGUAACACGUAUCCAACCUGCCGAUAACUCGGGGAUAGCCUUUCGAAAGAAAGAUUAAUACCCGAUGGCAUAAUUAGACCGCAUGGUCUUAUUAUUAAAGAAUUUCGGUUAUCGAUGGGGAUGCGUUCCAUUAGGCAGUUGGUGAGGUAACGGCUCACCAAACCUUCGAUGGAUAGGGGUUCUGAGAGGAAGGUCCCCCACGUUGGAACUGAGACACGGUCCAA